GAUGAAGAACGUAGUGAAAUGCGAUAAUUAAUGUGAAUUGCAGAAUUCAGUGAAUCAUCGAGUCUUUGAACGCACAUUGCGCCCCCUGGUAUUCCGGGGGGCAUGCCUGUCCGAGCGUCAUUCCUGCCCUCAAGCACGGCUUGUGUGUUGGGCUUCCGUCCCUGGCAACGGGGACGGGCCCAAAAGGCAGUGGCGGCACCAUGUCUGGUCCUCGAGCGUAUGGGGCUUUGUCACCCGCUCCCGUAGGUCCAGCUGGCAGCUAGCCUCGCAACCAAUCUUUUUAACCAGGUUGACCUCGGAUCAGGUAGGGAUACCCGCUGAACUUAAGCAUAUCAAUAAGCGGAGGA
RNAcentral lists this unclassified non-coding RNA (347 nucleotides) under soil metagenome. Its description in RNAcentral is "partial contains 5.8S ribosomal RNA, internal transcribed spacer 2, and large subunit ribosomal RNA". The stretch from base 1 to 120 matches the Rfam family "5.8S ribosomal RNA", at positions 35 to 154 of the family's 154-position model. The record is from RNAcentral.